Podarcis lilfordi (Lilford's wall lizard) is the source of this 73-nucleotide non-coding RNA. The record is from the annotation of a GenBank genome assembly. Lineage: Eukaryota; Metazoa; Chordata; Lepidosauria; Squamata; Lacertidae.
UAGCAGGUUCAGACGGUAGAGCAUGAGGUUCUGAGUCUCGGGGCUGUGGGUUCAAGCCCCAAGCUGGGCAAAA